ACUUCUUCUGUGAACAUCCGAGAGAGGAUGUUCCACGCCACUCUCUUCACAUCUUGGCCACCAAUCGUGGCCAAAGAAGAAAUCUAAAAAGCUCUGGACUAUUUGCAGGGAGUUGGUGACUUGUCCCAGCAGAUGACCCGAAUUUGGAAAUCUUUGGGGGCCGUUCCUGUUCAUCCUCAGUUUGGAGGUCCGAGGUGCUACAUGUCAGAGCCUUCUUCAGGAUUUGACGUGCCUCAAUGGGCUCAUAUGAAGUGUCAACUUGCACAACACUGAUACUGACAGUUGACACCUGAAAGAUGAUUAACUUCAGCAAAGUACUUACAGCAACUUAUCAGCCCGUUUUCUGAUGCAGCCACUGCCAGCAAGUCAAACUUUGGUCAGUCCUGAGACCCUGAUCUAAACUAGUCAUGCUAUGAUUAUGAUUGGUACUAAAACAAUGAACAAAAACUAUCAAUUAAUGUUAAUGUAAUGAAGUAAUUAACUAAUUAAUGUCUGAACUAAUAAACUGAUUGAAAUGCAUUUUUUGCAUGUUAAUGCAGGAGAGGAAAGGCCACAAAACCUUCCCUGUGGGGCAGGGCGACACAUUUCCCAUCCAGCUCUGAAACAUUGGCAGCCUUGAUGAUCUCAGAUUUUUCUGAAAUGAUACAAUGUCAUUUCCAAGCCUGAAGAUGUUAUCACCAGUCGAUGUUCUGAGAGUCCACUUCUCAGUGGACAUCUCGCCAUACUGUGCCUUGAUGGCCAUCCCCCCAACAAUAGGGCCCACAAAAUGCUGCCGUCUUAAAGUGCUGCCAGAUAAUUUUCAUAUGGGAAGGCAGAGAAGGAGUCAAGGUGACCAUGCUGCUGAACUUCACCUGCCAGAUGGGUUAUGCAGUGUACAUUAUACACAACGUUGUGUCUCCCAUAAAGUGUAGCAAAGUGCUGCACAAACGACUUCAGUAAAGUGUCAGCGUAAUCAGUGAGGUAGGAAAAUGUUGGGCUUGCUAAGAUGGAGAUACCAGAGAAGAGAAGCAUAAAAUUCUGAUACAGGUCUUUGUCCAGAAAACUGGCCAGCAUUACAGGUCCAGUGUACAAAAGAAACUGCCUUAGCUCAGUAGCCUUCCAGCGAUCCAAUUCUCUAAGAGAUCGCGGCUUUCUGGCAAACUCUACCGGAAUAUAAGGCCUCAUGGAUACCAAUUUAGCGGACAUUUGUUCAACUAUAGUUGCAGGGACACGGACAGUCAGAGGACCACGAAGCCACAUAUUGAGCAAGCGCCUAACGAUACCUAAGCACACAAGGUGCAUGUAAUCUAGGGGAAACUGUGACACCAUGCCAACCCCAGUACCCUCAAAUGCAUGUGGCCCCUCAUGGUGAUGUAUCUCAUCUAACCUGUCAUUGAAAGACUCAUCCGUCCUUAGUGCAUAAUCUUUACAUGGAAAACUCAUUCGGCUCUGUUCAUGUCUACCAGGGUUUGUGCAUUUAUCGCAGGCGUGGUAGGCAUUGUGACUUUUGGUGUGUUUCACAAAUGCUCUUGCCGGUGUGUCACAAAUUACUGUAUCAAGUUUAAGGGUCAAAGUCUUUCCCACGAAACAGAAACCCUUUUCCAGAUGAACUAAUUCUCUGGUGAAGUCUUCGAGGAAUUCUUUUGCUGAUGAAGGUUUUUUUUCUCCAGAGUAUAAUGCGAUCACUACAGGCUCUUUCAUAGGGACACUGAGCAGGAGACCCAGGAUGGGCCACAGCUGAACACUUGAGCUUUUAAAUAAUGGUAGCCCAUCUAUGUUUAUUUGUAGCCUCAAGGUUAAGCCAUCAGUUAGCGUGUGUGCAUACCCGCGGAGUGUAGCACUAAGUGAAUGGAUGAUGCCAAAAUAGUAGUAUUUUCCCCCUGCCUUCUCUUGAAUGGAAUAUUUAGUUGUUGUCCUAAGGAGGGUCCUGCCAUCCUUUGGAAGAUCAGGAUGGGAGAGGCAAAGGAUGCCUAGUAGGGCAGUCAGAGCAACCAAUGAAAUUCCAAAGUGUCUGGCCCAGUCCGCAAUCUUGUCAGAUAAGGACAUCUCAUAGAUCUCAUCUUCAGGUUCGGAACUAUCACUGCCACUAGCUAAGAGACCCUCAGUAUAGUCUGACUCAAACUCCAUGCCACCUUCCUCUUCAUGAAAGACUGUUCCUGCUUCAAUACCUGAGGUGGAACAGUCCUCAGCCCAAGAUCCAAUAACAAGCUGCAAAGAAAACAGAAUUAUGUUAUGUCAAUAAAUAGAAAAUAAUAAUAAAGGCUGCAAGUGACAUCACUAGCGGAAGCACAAGUGUCUUGGAGUGCAAGUAUGAGAAUGCAUUGGAAUUUGGAGAAAGAAAAUGUAAUAACAAAAUACUUGGAAGUGUGUUUAAAGAAAAAUUAUUCUAUGAUAUCAAAAAGCCAACAAAAAUAAAGAUAACAGAUAAUCAAGUUACAUUAACAAAGACUAGUUGUAGCUAUCUUAAAUGGCCAAUUUUACCCAAGGUAAAAGAAAUUCAGUUCAAAUUAAUAAAUAAUAUUUAUCCUGCUGCUGAAACCCUAAGGAAAAGGUUUAAUUUUGAAGUUAAUCUGUGUGUUUUUUGUAUGACAGAACACGAAACAAUUGAACACCUUUUUUUCUCUUGUUCAGUCACAAUGGGGUUUUGGAAGGAUGUUUAUCGAUGGUUAAAUAUUGGGAUCAAUAACUCUUUAUUUAACAAAUUUCGGAUGGUUUGUCAAAAAAGGUAUCUAAAAUGGUGAACAUUAUUUCAUGAUGGGAAAGUAUCAUAUACACAAAAAUAAGUGGAAUAACAGCAAGCCCAACAUAAACUGUUUUAAGAACGAAAUUAAAAAUUAUAUAGCAUCUCUAAAGGUGUUAUUGGAAGAAAACCAGUCCAUAAACGAGUUAUAUGAAACUAUGUCAGAGUCUCUUGCUCUUUGAGUUUACAGUCCUAUGUUCUUAAACACGCUUGGAGCAUUUAUGUUGUUUUGUCAGCCCCUAUAAUUAUUUUUUAUUUUAUUUUUAUUUGUAUUUUUUAUUUUUCUUACUUUAUAUGAUGUGAGUUUGUACUGUUUUAAAUACAGAAACACCGGCAAUGGCGUUCGUGGUCGGGAAAAAAAACCUUGGGAAUAUUCCCAGACCCUUUCAGCGCACGAUGACUGCUAGAUAAACCCGACAUUAGAAGAAAUGCUAAAUCCCAUUUACAUCGAGUGGAGAAUAUCAUCACCUUCCUAAAAUAAUUGCCCAAGUCAUUUUUUCAGGUUUCUCAGAAAACACAAAAAAACUGAACCUAACUUCAGAGGCCGAGUAGAUUUUCGUUCUUCUUGAUGCAACUGCCAUCUUUGGUCCGUGUAUCUUUUGGUCAUUC
Molecule: long non-coding RNA, 3328 nt
Organism: Carassius auratus (goldfish)
Lineage: Eukaryota; Metazoa; Chordata; Actinopteri; Cypriniformes; Cyprinidae
Exons: 7
Source: RefSeq, a predicted model, not a curated record